This 528-nucleotide ribosomal RNA is filed under the name uncultured bacterium. RNAcentral's name for it is "bacterial SSU rRNA". It matches the Rfam family "Bacterial small subunit ribosomal RNA", at positions 32 to 535 of the family's 1533-position model. The record is from RNAcentral.
AAUCAACGCUGGCGGCGUGCCUCAGACAUGCAAGUCGAACGCGAAAGGCCCCUUCGGGGGCCGAGUAGAGUGGCGUCCGGGUGAGUAACACGUGGGUAAUCUACCUUCGGGUGGGGAAUAACGACCGGAAACGGUCGCUAAUACCGCAUAAUGCAGCGGCACCUAAUGGUGACAGUUGUUAAAGCGGGGGAUCGCAAGACCUCGCGCCUGAAGAGGAGCCCGCGGCGGAUUAGCUAGUUGGCAGGGUAACGGCCUACCAAGGCGACGAUCCGUAGCCGGCCUGAGAGGGCGGUCGGCCACACUGGCACUGACACACGGGCCAGACUCCUACGGGAGGCAGCAGUCGGGAAUUUUGGGCAAUGGGCGAAAGCCUGACCCAGCAACGCCGCGUGAAGGAUGAAGCUUUUCGGAGUGUAAACUUCAUAAGAAUGGGACGAAUAAGGAAGGGCUAAUACCCCUUUUGAUGACGGUACCAUUUGUAAGCUCCGGCUAACCCCGUGCCAGCAGCCGCGGUAAUACGGGGGGAGC